This is a long non-coding RNA of Zonotrichia leucophrys gambelii, 1398 nucleotides long. RefSeq lists it as uncharacterized. Lineage: Eukaryota; Metazoa; Chordata; Aves; Passeriformes; Passerellidae. The record is from RefSeq and is a predicted model, not a curated record. The transcript is spliced from 3 exons.
GAGGGGGUCAGAGGCAUCAUCUUGUGUGGUUGUUUUAUUAUUUUAUGAUAUAUAUGAUAUUAAAAGAAAAUUAUAUGUUAAAACUGCUAAAAGAAUACAAACAUGGAGAAUCUUGGCUCCAUGUUUCAGAAGGAUGAUUUUUUUAUGAAACAUAUGAUAUUAAAAGAAAAUUAUAUGUUAAAACUAUACUAAAAGAAUAGAAAGGAAGGAUUUUAUUAGGUUAGCAAGGAAUAGAAAGGAGUGAUAACAAAAUCUUGUGGCUGACCAGAGAGUCUGAGACAGCUGGACUGUGAUUGGCCAUUAAUUAAAAACAGCUACAUGAAACUAAUCAAAGAUGCACUUGUUGCAUUCCACAGCAGCAGAUAAUUAUUGCUUACCUUUCCUUUCUGAGGCUUUUCUGCUUCUCAGGAGAGAAGUUCUUAGCAAAAAGAUUUUUCAUAAAAUAUUUCCAUGACAAUCUUGGGAGUGUCCAGUGCUGCUGGCCACAGGACAAGAGCUCUGUGUCCCCAAGGGGGGGUUCCAACCCUCCCCCAUGACUCUACUGACUGCAGGGCGGAGAUGUUUGUUGGUUUUUUUGGGUGCAAAAGGGGUUUUGGCUCACAAACAUCACUGUAGGGGCUUCGUGAGCCUGGUGUCACCCGCCCUGUCCCUUGUGGGUGCUCAGGGAACAAGGAGAGGCAGUCAAAGCUGCCAUGGAGGGGGAUGUGAAGACCCCCUGAACCAGACCCGUGGUGGGCACUGAGGCCUCCAAAACACUGGAGAUUUUUUGGAACAACCCAAAAUCCAUCAAUCCCACCACAACCUCCUCCACUGACGGAUCCAAGGUUUCUCCAGCAGCUCCGUGCCCAGUGUUGCCAGCUCUCCUUUCCAGGCACACAAAAUUCAAUGUUUUGUGCUAAAAAAAGCUUAAAGCAGCCCUCAGGGCUUCACUGGGGCUUUGCACAAGGGAAGCUUGGUUGGGGCUUGGUCUGUGCACAGCCUCGGAUCCAACACACCUCAGCUGGAUGGAUUUUGACACAAAAAGGGGUAAAAUUGCCCCUUUUUUUCCUGGAAUCAGCCACAACUCUUCCUUCUGCCCCAUCCCAAGUGUUUCCCCAGCUCCAGAACCACCCCAGAUGUGGCUGGAAGAGGGACCACUCUUCCUGGAGACCCAAUCCCAGUGAAGCAAGUUGAAAAUGGGAGAUAAAAUCCUGGUGUAUGAGCAAAGCUGGACCUCACAGAUGUCAAGGGGGUUCUCCUCUUCUCCCUUCCCCAGGUACAGUCACCCUGCGCUGAUAAAAAAACCUGUUUUCAAGAGAUUUGGGACAAAUACCCAUGCUUGAGCAUGGGCAUCUCUCACCAUCCCAUUAUUUCCUCUCCCCAAACCCCACUUUAAUCCACUUUUUAAUGGAUCUUUCC